Dunckerocampus dactyliophorus (ringed pipefish) is the source of this 2121-nucleotide long non-coding RNA. RefSeq lists it as uncharacterized. The transcript has 3 exons. NCBI's taxonomy places the organism in Eukaryota, Metazoa, Chordata, Actinopteri, Syngnathiformes, Syngnathidae. The record is from RefSeq and is a predicted model, not a curated record.
GCCGUGUCUCCUGUGACAUCGCUAGCUUGCUAGCUUGUAAAUGAAUGGUUCGAAGGAGGGGGACUGCAACAGGGGGAGUACUGCAGCAAUAUGUUUUAACAAAGAUACAAAAAUGCUACAGUACAGCAGAACGGCGCCAGGACGAAAAGGCACGGUCACAGGAGUGAAAUACGAUGAGGAACAGUCGCUCUAAAAGCUGACGAAAAGGCAAGGCAUUCGGCGACAGAGGCACCUCGGACCCUGUGGAUCUCCUCAGCUACGUGUCCGCCGGGCCCCCCACUUCUUGGCCCUGAUGUUGAGGUGUGGUGCACCUGAAUUUGAACACUUCACCUCCGUAAACGGGGAAAGUUGAGAUGAGAGCGGUGCUGCAUGCUGCGCUUCAGAAACUGACAAGAGCGAAGCAAGUUGGGGCUGACCAGUGAUCAUCGUACCGACAGGAAAUUAAAAUACAAGUAAACAUGGAGACAGCAACACCUUUCUGACAAGACUUUCUACAAAAUAUUUGGAAUUUGUGUGCAUUCUUCCAGUUCUUCCACACCAGCCUCAUGUUCAAAUUAUCACACAAUUUUACCAAAUACCUCUUUGAUGAAAAAUCCCAUUUGUUGUUACAUACGUACCACAAAUAAAAAUGUCAACACUGUUCAAAAUUGGUGUUUGCUGAGUGCCUUUGUUGUGUUGUGAUGAUUUGGCGCUAACAUAAGUGGCCCCGGGUGGGUGCAAAAUUGCUCCUCCCGAAUCAGCUCUGUUUGUUUCAUUGUCUUUAUGUGUCAAAGACUCAAAGCCUGGCAUCUAAAAUUACGUACAAUCAUCAUUGUGUCAACAUCAGCAGUCAUCAUCCUCAACUAAAACGACAGCCUUGUCCAUUGAGCUGAUUUUUUAAAGCUCCGUCUGCCGUGUGUGCCUGGUGUUGUGUGUGACAUCUGCACUGCGUUUAUGACCACCAGCAUUGACCCUCAGGAGUCAACUUCAUUUCCAUGAUACGAAUCCUGUUGUUUAUGAUGUUGUUCUUCAUGUAAAAAGCGCGCAACUCAAGAGAUUAAACAAUAAAGUGCCUGUCGGCGGUUCGGUGCUCUUCUGGGUGCUUGGGUGUUUGUUGCCGCCUGUCUUUGUGCUUCACUGGGCGGUUUUCUGCGCCUUUCCCCUAUCUGUCUGCGGGCCUGUCGGGCAGUGGUGGUUCUAGUUAUGGGCCAUAUGGGCCACAUGGGCAAUUGCCCAGGGCCGCAUUCUCUUGGGGGUGCCGCGGGGGGGCACAGAAAAAAAUACCGUAUAUUUGUGUUCAGCACUCAUCAAGUCAGGAUGUGUGGCAGAUGCCCUCAGGUUAAUUGCACCAUAAAAAUAGAAAAAAAAGAAAAAAAAAGUUAAAAAAAAGUAAAUAAUAACAGCAAUUGUUAAAAAAUAAAACAUGCUACAUUCUUCAUAUUUUAUUAUAUUCAUUAUAUCGCAGACCAAGAGUCUCCGACAAAUGUUAUUUCACUACUAAAAUGUGAAACAUAAAAGCGGGAAUUGUGAGGCAAUAUGAGUUGCUUUAGCCUUGACUGCUAGUUGAGUGAUGGUGGGCGGUGACGAUUAAGUGUCGUUAUUUUUCUCAACAAAACAUGGAAAAGAGAAAGUCAGAGCCAUCAGAUACACAAUUUAGAAAGAAGAGAAACGGGGGCCAAAGAUAAAGGUAUGGAGCUAUAUCAUCCCUUUAUGUACACCAUAAUAUGGAAUGUAUAUGAUCAAAUAAGCUAGCAUUACUUGGCAUAACAAUAAACCUGAAAUAAAGUCAAAUAAAAACUAUGCAACAGGAGAAGAGUAUCACACUUUUCCCCGGCAGAGCAAGUGUGUUUAUUAUGUAAGGGCAUCUAGAUCAACAAUUCUAUUUGCGCCAUUGGCAAAAACCCCAAUAAAGUGGCAUAUUUGAUGUGCCCUUGGUUAUAUCCGCAAGGCUCUUCAUGAUGUGUUAUCCUAAUCAUUCUGCUAAAAAAGAAGACAUCAUAAAUACUAUAUGCUGUAUUUGUGAUUUUGCUUCGUGUGUUGGGUAGAACGAUCAUUAAGGCCAGCAGGGGUGCUUGAGAUAAUUAACUAUUACGCCACAUUAUUUAUUUAUCAUAAACUCAUUAAGGACGGUGGCUGUGAAUU